This is a non-coding RNA of Nocardia sp. NRRL S-836, 37 nucleotides long. NCBI's taxonomy places the organism in Bacteria, Bacillati, Actinomycetota, Actinomycetes, Mycobacteriales, Nocardiaceae. The record is from Rfam.
GCAGCGCUGGGCGUUCGCGCUCAGCGAGGAUCGCAAA